RNAcentral lists this ribosomal RNA (498 nucleotides) under uncultured bacterium. RNAcentral describes it as "partial 16S ribosomal RNA". It matches the Rfam family "Bacterial small subunit ribosomal RNA", at positions 28 to 508 of the family's 1533-position model. The record is from RNAcentral.
GAUGAACGCUGGCGGCGUGCCUAAUACAUGCAAGUCGAGCGAACGGACGAGAAGCUUGCUUCUCUGAUGUUAGCGGCGGACGGGUGAGUAACACGUGGAUAACCUACCUAUAAGACUGGGAUAACUUCGGGAAACCGGAGCUAAUACCGGAUAAUAUUUUGAACCGCAUGGUUCAAAAGUGAAAGACGGUCUUGCUGUCACUUAUAGAUGGAUCCGCGCUGCAUUAGCUAGUUGGUAAGGUAACGGCUUACCAAGGCAACGAUGCAUAGCCGACCUGAGAGGGUGAUCGGCCACACUGGCACUGAGACACGGUCCAGACUCCUACGGGAGGCAGCAGUAGGGAAUCUUCCGCAAUGGGCGAAAGCCUGACGGAGCAACGCCGCGUGAGUGAUGAAGGGCUUCGGAUCGUAAAACUCUGUUAUUAGGGAAGAACAUAUGUGUAAGUAACUGUGCACAUCUUGACGGUACCUAAUCAGAAAGCCACGGCUAACUACGUGC